GCUACGGGAGGCUGCAGUGAGGAAUAUUGGUCAAUGGGCUUACGCCUGAACCAGCCAAGUCGCGUGAGGGAAGACUGCCCUAUGGGUUGUAAACUUCUUUUAUAAAGGAAUAAAACGAGGCACGUGUGCCUUUUUGCAUGUACUUUAUGAAUAAGGAUCGGCUAACUCCGUGCCAGCAGCCGCGGUAAUACGGAGGAUCCGAGCGUUAUCCGGAUUUAUUGGGUUUAAAGGGAGCGUAGAUGGGUUGUUAAGUCAGUUGUGAAAGUUUGCGGCUCAACCGUAAAAUUGCAAUGGAUACUGGCAGUCUUGAGUACAGUUGAGGUAGGCGGAAUUCGUGGUGUAGCGGUGAAAUGCUUAGAUAUCACGAAGAACCCCGAUUGCGAAGGCAGCUUACUAAACUGUGACUGACAUUGAUGCUCGAAAGUGUGGGUAUCAAACAGGAUUAGAUACCCCUGUAGUC
Molecule: ribosomal RNA, 460 nt
Filed under: uncultured bacterium
Lineage: Bacteria
Description: partial 16S ribosomal RNA
Rfam family: Bacterial small subunit ribosomal RNA
Source: RNAcentral